GACGAACGCUGGCGACGUGCCUAAUACAUGCAAGUUGAGCGCUGAAGGUUGGUACUUGUACCGACUGGAUGAGCAGCGAACGGGUGAGUAACGCGUGGGGAAUCUGCCUUUGAGCGGGGGACAACAUUUGGAAACGAAUGCUAAUACCGCAUAACAACUUUAAACACAAGUUUUAAGUUUGAAAGAUGCAAUUGCAUCACUCAAAGAUGAUCCCGCGUUGUAUUAGCUAGUUGGUGAGGUAAAGGCUCACCAAGGCGAUGAUACAUAGCCGACCUGAGAGGGUGAUCGGCCACAUUGGGACUGAGACACGGCCCAAACUCCUACGGGAGGCAGCAGUAGGGAAUCUUCGGAAAUGGACGAAAGUCUGACCGAGCAACGCCGCGUGAGUGAAGAAGGUUUUCGGAUCGUAAAACUCUGUUGGUAGAGAAGAACGUUGGUGAGAGUGGAAAGCUCAUCAAGUGACGGUAACUACCCAGAAAGGGACGGCUAACUACGUGCCAGCCGCCGCCGUAA
RNAcentral lists this ribosomal RNA (513 nucleotides) under uncultured bacterium. Its description in RNAcentral is "partial 16S ribosomal RNA". It matches the Rfam family "Bacterial small subunit ribosomal RNA", at positions 28 to 523 of the family's 1533-position model. The record is from RNAcentral.